UCCGGUGGCGAUAGCGGCGGGGAUACACCCGUUCCCAUUCCGAACACGGAAGUUAAGCCCGUCAGCGCCGAUGGUACUGCCUGGGAAACUGGGUGGGAGAGUAGGACGCCGCCGGAU
This 117-nucleotide ribosomal RNA is filed under the name bacterium. The record is from RNAcentral.